UAGCACUAAUAGAGAGAUAUAACCACGAUCAGAUGAUAAGAGCAGGUCAUUUGUAACUCUAAGGAGAGCAGUCUCAGUACUAUGAUACGGUCUAAAUCCUGACUGGAAAUCCUCACAGAUGCCAUUUUUCUCAAAUACUAGAAAUUGUGAAUAUAAAUAAUCGUGAAUCAUUUUAUUUAUCUAUUAUAACAUUUAUGUAGUUUUGUUCACUUGGCUGUUUCUUUAUAAAGGUCCAGAAACUGCAGUUUUUCGUCAGGAGUCUUUUUUAAUUAUAAGGUAGUUCCCUCAGCGGUGGGCGGGGCUAACUCACAUGCAGCGAUCCUAUUGAUUGAGAGUGUGAUUGAUUGCUCGACACCUGCCAGAGAUCAGCAACAAACAAGAAUCAGCAGCGGCAGCUGAACACGCUUCAGUCAGAUCUGAACACGCCCUGUAUCCUGAAAUUAAUUUCAGCACAUGUCCUUGCAUUUUUAAGGCACUUUUGACAGAUGAAGGGGUCUGUUCAGGUUCGGAGCUGCCGGGGGUCACGAGGAUCUGCCGGGAGUCACGAGGAGCUGCCGGAGGACAGGGGAGUAACCGCUGAACUCUGACCUUGUUCUGGACUCGGUGCUGCUGUGAUGCUCUGAGCUCUUGGACCGCUCUGAUUCUAAGCUCGGACCCGUUCUCUGGGAACUGCUUUGACGGACGCUUGUUUAAACAGAACGAUCAUACAGUGUGUGUGUGUGUGU
Molecule: long non-coding RNA, 725 nt
Organism: Cyprinus carpio carpio
Lineage: Eukaryota; Metazoa; Chordata; Actinopteri; Cypriniformes; Cyprinidae
Source: Ensembl